AUUGAACGCUGGCGGCAGGCCUAACACAUGCAAGUCGAGCGAGCGGCGGACGGGUGAGUAAUGUAUGGGGAAAGCCCGUGAGAGAGGGGUAACUACUGGAAACGGGGGCUAAAACCGCACAUGAUCGGAGAGCCCACAUGGGAUUAGCUAGUAGGUGAGGUAAUGGCUCACCUAGGCGACGAUCCCUAGCUGGGCUGAGAGGAUGAUCAGCCACACUGGGACUGAGACACGGCCCAGACUCCUACGGAGGCAGCAGUGGGGAAUAUUGCACAAUGGGCGCAAGCCUGAUACAGCCAUGCCGCGUGUAUGAAGAAGGCCCUAGGGUUGUAAAGUACUUUCAGUCGGGAGGCGUUACCGACAGAAGAAGCACCGGCUAACUCCGUGCCAGCAGCCGCGGUAAUUC
Molecule: ribosomal RNA, 403 nt
Filed under: uncultured bacterium
Lineage: Bacteria
Description: partial 16S ribosomal RNA
Rfam family: Bacterial small subunit ribosomal RNA
Source: RNAcentral